Molecule: ribosomal RNA, 596 nt
Filed under: Suillus spraguei
Lineage: Eukaryota; Fungi; Basidiomycota; Agaricomycetes; Boletales; Suillaceae
Description: partial 25S ribosomal RNA
Rfam family: Eukaryotic large subunit ribosomal RNA
Source: RNAcentral
AGGAUUCCCCUAGUAACUGCGAGUGAACCGGGAAAAGCUCAAAUUUUGAAUCUGGCGGUCCAAGGGCCGUCCGAGUUGUAAUCUAGAGAAGCGUCUUCCGCGCUGGACCGUGUAUAAGUUUCCUGGAAUGGAACGUCGUAGAGGGUGACAAUCCCGUCUUUGACACGGACUCCCAGUGCUAUGUGAUGCGCUCUCGACGAGUCGAGUUGUUUGGGAAUGCAGCUCAAAUAGGGUGGUAAAUUCCAUCUAAAGCUAAAUACAGGCGAGAGACCGAUAGCGAACAAGUACCGUGAGGGAAAGAUGAAAAGAACUUUGGAAAGAGAGUUAAACAGUACGUGAAAUUGCUGAAAGGGAAACGCUUGAUGUCAGUCGCAUCGUCCGGGGAUCAGCCUCGCUCUUUUGCUCGGCGUACUUCCUGGUCGAUGGGUCAGCAUCGGUUUCGACCGUCGGAAAAUGGCUCGAGGAACGUGGCACUCUUCGGGGUGUGUUAUAGCCUCGAGUCGAAUACGACGGUCGGGACCGAGGAACUCAGCACGACCUUCGGGUUCGGGGCUUCGGCUCACGUUCGCGUGCUUAGGAUGCGGCAUAAGGCCUAA